This 439-nucleotide ribosomal RNA is filed under the name uncultured bacterium. Its description in RNAcentral is "partial 16S ribosomal RNA". It matches the Rfam family "Bacterial small subunit ribosomal RNA", at positions 339 to 795 of the family's 1533-position model. The record is from RNAcentral.
CUACGGGCCGCUGCAGUGAGGAAUAUUGCACAAUGGGGGGAACCCUGAUGCAGCAACGCCGCGUGGAGGAUGACGCAUUUCGGUGUGUAAACUCCUUUUAUAUGUCAAGAAAAUGACGGUAGCAUAUGAAUAAGCACCGGCUAACUCCGUGCCAGCAGCCGCGGUAAUACGGAGGGUGCAAGCGUUACUCGGAAUCACUGGGCGUAAAGGACGCGUAGGCGGGCUUGUAAGUCAGGUGUGAAAUCCUACAGCUUAACUGUAGAACUGCACUUGAAACUACGAGCCUAGAGUAUGGGAGGGGCAGAUGGAAUUAGUGGUGUAGGGGUAAAAUCCGUAGAUAUCACUAGGAAUACCUAAAGCGAAGGCGAUCUGCUGGAACAUAACUGACGCUAAGGCGUGAAAGCGUGGGGAGCAAACAGGAUUAGAUACCCGCGUAGUC